RNAcentral lists this ribosomal RNA (489 nucleotides) under uncultured bacterium. Its description in RNAcentral is "bacterial SSU rRNA". It matches the Rfam family "Bacterial small subunit ribosomal RNA", at positions 30 to 507 of the family's 1533-position model. The record is from RNAcentral.
AUUGAACGCUGGCGGCAUGCCUAACACAUGCAAGUCGAACGGCAGCACGGCAGUAGCAAUACUGUGGGUGGCGAGUGCGGACGGGUGAGGAAUACGUCGGAAUCUGCCCAGUCGUGGGGGAUAACUAGCCGAAAGGUUAGCUAAUACCGCAUACGACCGAGAGGUGAAAGCGGGGGACCGCAAGGCCUCGCGCGAUUGGAUGAGCCGACGUCGGAUUAGCUAGUUGGUGGGGUAAAGGCCCACCAAGGCGACGAUCCGUAGCUGGUCUGAGAGGAUGAUCAGCCACACUGGAACUGAGACACGGUCCAGACUCCUACGGGAGGCAGCAGUGGGGAAUAUUGGACAAUGGGCGCAAGCCUGAUCCAGCAAUGCCGCGUGUGUGAAGAAGGCCUUCGGGUUGUAAAGCACUUUUAUCAGGAACGAAAAGCGUUGGAUUAAUACUCUGACGUGCUGACGGUACCUGAGGAAUAAGCACCGGCUAACUUCGUG